RNAcentral lists this ribosomal RNA (253 nucleotides) under uncultured bacterium. Its description in RNAcentral is "partial 16S ribosomal RNA". It matches the Rfam family "Bacterial small subunit ribosomal RNA", at positions 524 to 776 of the family's 1533-position model. The record is from RNAcentral.
UACAGAGGUCCCGAGCGUUGUUCGGAUUCAUUGGGCGUAAAGGGUGCGUAGGCGGCGAGGCAAGUCUGAUGUGAAAUCCCGGGGCUCAACCCCGGAACUGCAUUGGAUACUGCCCUGCUAGAGUACUGGAGAGGGAACUGGAAUUUACGGUGUAGCAGUGAAAUGCGUAGAGAUCGUAAGGAAGGCCAGUGGCGAAGGCGAGUUCCUGGACAGUUACUGACGCUGAGGCACGAAGGCCAGGGGAGCAAACGGG